Molecule: long non-coding RNA, 557 nt
Filed under: Salmo salar (Atlantic salmon)
Lineage: Eukaryota; Metazoa; Chordata; Actinopteri; Salmoniformes; Salmonidae
Description: lncRNA (ENSSSAG00000112865.1)
Source: RNAcentral
GGUACAGUAGAGGAGUGGUAGAGGGAGAGAUGAAUGAGGAGAAGGAGGUACAAUAGAGGAGUGGUAGAGGGAGAGAUGAAUGAGGAGAAUGAGGUAGAGGAGUGGUAGAGGGAGAGAUGAAUGAGGAGAAGGAGGUACAGUAGGGGAGUGGUAGAGGGAGAGAUGAAUGACUAGAAGGAGGUACAGUAGAGGAGUGGUAGAGGGAGAGAUGAAUGAGGAGAAGGAGGUACAGUAGAGGAGUGGUAGAGGGAGAGAUGAAUGAGGAGAAUUAGGUAGAGGAGUGGUAGAGGGAGAGAUGAAUGAGGAGAAGGAGGUACAGUAGAGGAUUGGUAGAAGGAGAGAUGAAUGAGGAGAAGGAGGUAGAGGAGUGGUAGAGGGAGAGAUGAAUGAGAAGAAGGAGGAAGAGGGGUGGUAGAGGGAGAGAUGAAGGAGGAGAAGGAGGUAGAAGAGUGGUAGAAGGAGAGAUGAAAGAGGAGAAGGAGGUACAGUAGAGGAGUGGUAGAGGGAGAGAUGAUGAGAAGGUGGUACAGUAGAGGAGUGGUAGAGGGAGAGAUGAA